Molecule: long non-coding RNA, 384 nt
Organism: Salvelinus sp. IW2-2015
Lineage: Eukaryota; Metazoa; Chordata; Actinopteri; Salmoniformes; Salmonidae
Source: RefSeq, a predicted model, not a curated record
UCCUACUAGGACGUUAACGUGGCAAUAGCUCUCAUCAUUGAGACAGGGUGACGGGAGGAAGAAUGGACAGCUGAGCGGUGACGAGGAGCGAAAUUGAGGGUGGUACAGAAUCUGAUUCCACUGGCAUGUGCUUCCAAACCAUAGCUCUGCACAAGGUGAAGGUGGUCUGGAGACCUUCCACAGUGCCCUGCUGAAAAAUACCCCAUAACGUUGGGAACAUCGAAACAUCGUCAUCUAUUUGUUCGAAACAUCGUCUUCUCCUGGCAGCAUUUACCCUCCAGCUUCACAAGCUUGAAAACCACAUCCAGAAUUUAUUUUUAUUUUUUUAAAGUUCGUUUUGGAGUCAGAGUUUCAGUAUAGUUUGUUUUUCAAAACGGGUGUGUU